UUAAUUGGAGACCUGUAUGAAUGGCAUAACGAGGGCUGGACUGUCUCCUCUUUCGAGUCAAUGAAGUUGAUCUCCCCGUGCAGAAGCGGGGAUAUUUACAUAAGACGAGAAGACCCUAUGGAGCUUGAGACGAUAAGGCAGCCCAUGUUAAACACCCUUAUUAACGGACUAAACUAAAUGGCCCCUGCUUUAGUGUCUUCGGUUGGGGCGACCCUGGGGAAUACAAAACCCCCACGUGGAAUAGGAGCACCCCCCCCCUUAACUCCCCGAAGCAAGAGCCACACCUCCGGUUAAAAAAAAUUUUGACCAAAAAUGAUCCGGCAAUGCCAAUAAACGGACCAAUUACCCCUGGGAUAAAAACCCAAAUCCCCUUUUAGAGCCCCUUUGGACAAGGGGGUUUACAACCUCGAUUUUGGAUCAGGACAUCCUAAUGGUGCACCCCCUUUUAAGGGUUCGUUUGUUCAACGAUUAAAGUCC
Molecule: ribosomal RNA, 477 nt
Filed under: Scophthalmus rhombus (brill)
Lineage: Eukaryota; Metazoa; Chordata; Actinopteri; Pleuronectiformes; Scophthalmidae
Description: partial large subunit ribosomal RNA
Rfam family: Bacterial large subunit ribosomal RNA
Source: RNAcentral